GAUGAACGCUGGCGGCGUGCCUAAUACAUGCCAGUCGAGCGAACAGACGAGGAGCUUGCUCCUCUGACGUUAGCGGCGGACGGGUGAGUAACACGUGGAUAACCUACCUAUAAGACUGGGAUAACUUCGGGAAACCGGAGCUAAUACCGGAUAAUAUAUUGAACCGCAUGGUUCAAUAGUGAAAGACGGUUUUGCUGUCACUUAUAGAUGGAUCCGCGCCGCAUCAGCUAGUUGGUAAGGUAACGGCUUACCAAGGCAACGAUGCGUAGCCGACCUGAGAGGGUGAUCGGCCACACUGGAACUGAGACACGGUCCAGACUCCUACGGGAGGCAGCAGUAGGGAAUCUUCCGCAAUGGGCGAAAGCUUGACGGAGCAACGCCGCGUGAGUGAUGAAGGUCUUCGGAUCGUAAAACUCUGUUAUUAGGGAAGAACAAAUGUGUAAGUAACUAUGCACGUCUUGACGGUACCUAAUCAGAAAGCCACGGCUAACUACGUG
RNAcentral lists this ribosomal RNA (497 nucleotides) under uncultured bacterium. Its description in RNAcentral is "partial 16S ribosomal RNA". It matches the Rfam family "Bacterial small subunit ribosomal RNA", at positions 28 to 507 of the family's 1533-position model. The record is from RNAcentral.